This 1010-nucleotide ribosomal RNA is filed under the name Haloarchaeobius iranensis. Its description in RNAcentral is "bacterial SSU rRNA". It matches the Rfam family "Archaeal small subunit ribosomal RNA", at positions 425 to 1440 of the family's 1478-position model. Lineage: Archaea; Methanobacteriati; Methanobacteriota; Halobacteria; Halobacteriales; Halorubellaceae. The record is from RNAcentral.
UGGUACAGGAAUAAGAGCUGGGCAAGACCGGUGCCAGCCGCCGCGGUAACACCGGCAGCUCGAGUGAUGACCGAUAUUAUUGGGCUAAAGCGUCCGCAGCUGGCCGAGAGGGUCCGUCGGGAAAUCUGCUCGCUCAACGAGCAGGCGUCCGGCGGAAACCAAUCGGCUUGGGACCGGAAGACNUGAGGGGUACGUCUGGGGUAGGAGUGAAAUCCCGUAAUCCUGGACGGACCACCGGUGGCGAAAGCGCCUCAGGAAGACGGAUCCGACAGUGAGGGACGAAAGCUGGGGUCACGAACCGGAUUAGAUACCCGGGUAGUCCCAGCUGUAAACGAUGCUCACUAGGUGUGGCACUGGCUACGAGCCAGUGCUGUGCCGUAGGGAAGCCGUGAAGUGAGCCGCCUGGGAAGUACGUCCGCAAGGAUGAAACUUAAAGGAAUUGGCGGGGGAGCACUACAACCGGAGGAGCCUGCGGUUUAAUUGGACUCAACGCCGGACAUCUCACCAGCUCCGACAGUAUGCAGUGACAGUCAGUGUGAUGAGCUUACUUGAGCUACUGAGAGGAGGUGCAUGGCCGCCGUCAGCUCGUACCGUGAGGCGUCCUGUUAAGUCAGGCAACGAGCGAGACCCGCACUCUUAAUUGCCAGCAUAGGCCUUCGGCCUGAUGGGUACAUUAGGAGGACUGCCAGUGCUAAACUGGAGGAAGGAACGGGCAACGGUAGGUCAGUAUGCCCCGAAUGAGCUGGGCUACACGCGGGCUACAAUGGUCGAGACAGUGGGAUGCAACCCCGAGAGGGGGCGCUAAUCUCCGAAACUCGAUCGUAGUUCGGAUUGUGGGCUGAAACUCGCCCACAUGAAGCUGGAUUCGGUAGUAAUCGCCUCUCAGAAGGAGGCGGUGAAUACGUCCCUGCUCCUUGCACACACCGCCCGUCAAAGCACCCGAGUGAGGUCCGGAUGAGGCCCGGAAACGGGUCGAAUCUGGGCUUCGCAAGGGGGCUNAAGUCGUAACA